This is a long non-coding RNA of Capra hircus (goat), 1354 nucleotides long. The record is from Ensembl. NCBI's taxonomy places the organism in Eukaryota, Metazoa, Chordata, Mammalia, Artiodactyla, Bovidae.
CUUAUAUUCUUUUAAGGACCUCUUCAGUUUUCAGUUGCUACAUUUUAAUGAUUCAUUUAUCUGAAACAUAUUUAAGUGAAAAGAGUGAGAUCAAAUCUAGUCUUAUUUUUUUUUUUUCUAAAUUGUCAAAUAAUUGUCCCCAAGAUAUUUGGUGAUGCGUUUGUAAUAGUGGUGGGUGUGGAGUCAUUUGAGGGGCCUUUAGCCUGAGACCUUGAGUGGAGCAGUUAGGUGCCCUGUUCCGUGAGCAGUCAGCUUGCAGUGGUCCUCGCCAUGAAAGACAGUGCAAAGUGUGAGAAGUGGAUCGGGGCUGGCAAAGGCAGCUCAAGCAUCUCAUCCGACGUGAGUUCAAGUACAGAUCACACGCCGACCCAAGCCCAGAAGAAUGUGGCUACCAGCGAAGGUAGGCAUCUGGUCUUCAUUAUCUCCUAUGCUCUCGUCACAGUGCUGGCUGUAUUUGGAAGACACAUAAAAUGUUUGAGUCUCAGAUCUGUUCUGCCGAGUGGGAGCAUACGAGAUUCUCAAAAAUGGGAAGGCCAAGGUUUUCUCUUUUAUUGCAUUGCUGUCAAUGUCUACUAAAGUUGUUUUGGUGCAGUUUAAGGUAAAUGCUGUCAUUUUAUCAAAGUAUAAUAGGAUGACUUUUGGGAAUGUUUGUGAAUGAUGUCUUGUUUUUCAGUAUGGCAAACAUUAUGAUUGUAAAAUCCUUGUGCUCGAGUUGAAAGUUCCGGCAAGAACUUUUGAAAUAGGCACACCUGGAAUUCGUGAUUUUGAUAAUGGGAAGGUCAUAGUUGUGUGAUUUGUAGAACCUGAACCAGUCCCCAAUAUUGGGGAGUAGGAGAAGAGGUUUGUUUGAUUCUUUAAAAAAUUAAGUGAGAAUUCCUGCUUGUCAGAACGAAGAUGGAUUGCAUUGGUGUUCUUGAUGAAGAAUUUGACUAUAUGUAGUAACACGUGGUGGAAUUUAACUGUUUCCCAGUAGUUGAGAAGCUUUUCAGUUAUACUUAGUUGUUUGAGUGUGGAAAUAAUUGGUUCUGUAGUAGUUAUUUGGUAAAAAGUUGACCCAAUUAUGGACUCAGCUCCUUUUAUGUUAAUAUGAAACACACAAUUAAAUGACUUCUUUUUUGAAGAAGAAUUCUUUCUAAAUGAAUGGUUGAAUGAAGGUCUGUGUAACGAAAGACUUGUGGGGUGUCAGCUGAUUCCUCAUGACACUAUAGAGAGCCUGUGGAAAUGCAUUUCCAGUCCUUGUUUCAGAAGCUUAGCUUCUGCUGUUUAUAAUAUCAGAAAGUGUACGCAUAGCCUGGUGUUGGUCAUUUAAGCUCUUAGAUUGUUCUUGGUCUGCACUACACGUUUUACAUUAAUG